RNAcentral lists this signal recognition particle RNA (275 nucleotides) under Candidatus Altarchaeales archaeon ex4484_2. RNAcentral's name for it is "Candidatus Altiarchaeales archaeon ex4484_2 signal recognition particle sRNA". It matches the Rfam family "Archaeal signal recognition particle RNA". Lineage: Archaea; Nanobdellati; Candidatus Altarchaeota; Candidatus Altarchaeia; Candidatus Altarchaeales. The record is from RNAcentral.
UGGUGGGCUAGGCUGGGAGGUUGGGCGUCUCCUACCCUCUCAAAUCGUCCUUAUGGAGAGGUCGAAGCCUGGGGGGCGAUUUAUCCCCCUGAUAUCAGUCUGUGUCUUCAACUAUGAACUAUUGUCUCACUGGAUUUGUCCCCGCGGGAACCGGGUCAGGCCCUGGCGGGAGCAGCCCUAACCACGGUGCACAAUGCUGGUGAGGUCGCGGUAGUGAGAAGGGACUCAGGUAGCUGGUGUUAGGGAGAUGACUCCACCCUUGGGCACGCCCGCCA